CGGCCGGGGGGCUUCAGAAUAAAAACUAGAACAACAUGGAAAGGUUGGCCAUAGAGGGUGAUAGCCCCUUAUAGGUAAAAAGUUUUGGAGUCCUUGAGUAAGGCGGGACACGUGAAAUCCUGUUUGAACAUAGGGGGACCACCCUCUAAGCCUAAGUACUCUCUAGUGACCGAUAGUGAACAAGUACCGUGAGGGAAAGGUGAAAAGAACCCCGACAAGGGGAGUGAAAUAGACCUGAAACCGAAUGCUUACAAGCAGUCGGAGCAGACAUUUAUGUUCUGUGACGGCGUACCUUUUGUAUAAUGGGUCAGCGACUUAGUUUAUCUAGCAAGCUUAAGCCGUUAGGUGUAGGCGUAGCGAAAGCGAGUCUGAAUAGGGCGAUUUUAGUUAGAUGAAUUAGACCCGAAACCGAGUGAUCUAGCCAUGGCCAGGUUGAAGGUGGAGUAAUAUCCGCUGAAGGACCGAACCCACUACUGUUGAAAAAGUAGGGGAUGAGCUGUGGCUAGGGGUGAAAGGCUAAUCAAACUCGGAUAUAGCUGGUUCUCCGCGAAAUCUAUUUAGGUAGAGCGUUAUAGCGAUUACCGUCGAAGGUAGAGCACUGGAUGAGCUAGGGGGUCCUACAGACUUACCAAACUCAACCAAACUCCGAAUGUCGACGAGUACAGCAUAGCAGACAGACUGUGGGUGCUAAGGUCCAUAGUCGAGAGGGAAAAAGCCCAGACCGCCAUCUAAGGUCCCUAAAUCAUGACUAAGUGUUAAAGGAUGUGGGAAAACCAAAACAACUAGGAUGUUGGCUUAGAAGCAGCCAUCAUUUAAAGAAAGCGUAAUAGCUCACUAGUCUAAAUAAGUUUUCCUGCGCCAACAAUGUAACGGGGCUCAAGUCAUGUACCGAAGAUGCGGAUUUGCACUUUAAUAGUGCAGAUGGUAGCGGAGCGUUCCGUAAGCCUGUGAAGGUGAACUGUGAAGUUUGCUGGAGGUAUCGGAAGUGAGAAUGCUGACAUAAGUAGCGAUAAAGAAUGUGAGAAACAUUCUCGCCGAAAGUCCAAGGGUUCCUGCGUAAAGUUAAUCUGCGCAGGCUUAGUCGGCUCCUAAGGUGAGGCUGAAAGGCGUAAUCGAUGGGAAUCAGGUUAAUAUUCCUGAACCUGAGGGAUGUGACGGAGAUAGUAAAUUGUAUACGCUUAUUGGAUUGCGUGUGCGGUGAAUAUCUUCCAGGAAAUAACACCCUCGUUAAAGACCGUACCCCAAACCGACACAGGUGGACAGGUAGAGUAUACCUAGGCGCUUGAGAGAACGAUGCUGAAGGAACUAGGCAAAUUGCAUCUGUAACUUCGGGAGAAGGAUGACCUGUGAAUGGGCAACCAUUUAUAGGUGGCACAAACUAGGGGGUAGCGACUGUUUAUUAAAAACACAGGGCUCUGCAAAGUCAAUAGACGAAGUAUAGGGUCUGACGCCUGCCCAGUGCUGGAAGAUUAAGAGGAGGGGUGCAAGCUCUGAAUUGAAGUCCCAGUGAACGGCGGCCGUAACAAUGACGGUCCUAAGGUAGCGAAAUUCCUUGUCGGGU
Molecule: ribosomal RNA, 1561 nt
Filed under: Micropterix calthella
Lineage: Eukaryota; Metazoa; Arthropoda; Insecta; Lepidoptera; Micropterigidae
Description: bacterial LSU rRNA
Rfam family: Bacterial large subunit ribosomal RNA
Source: RNAcentral